Pelobates cultripes (western spadefoot toad) is the source of this 915-nucleotide non-coding RNA. The record is from the annotation of a GenBank genome assembly. NCBI's taxonomy places the organism in Eukaryota, Metazoa, Chordata, Amphibia, Anura, Pelobatidae.
CUGAUGUAUUUGCUCAUGUAAACAGAACUGAAUUUUAAGAAAAAUAACUGCUUGUUUUUGUUUUGUUAACUUUUUUUGCCACUGCUAUGGAGAUUUUUCUAAUGUGCCCUUUUCCUGUGUCCUAAAACAUCCAGGUUUUGUCGGGUCUGUGUUCCAGGACAUCUGCAUGUGCGUGUUUCCAGUGUAUUGUAGUACAUGUGCUAAACAGGAGAUUAAGUUUUCUUAGAGGCAUUAUUACUCUACAUCCAAUAAGGUGAGUGUUGCUAUUAUAAUUUAACAAUCCUCUAGCUAAUGAGAUAAGCAGUGUUCUUACUUUACAAUUUUUGUUCCUUGCCCAUCAUUCAAGACAUCCCUUAAAGGGAACCUAUAGUUCAGUGACUUUAAUUUAUAUUCCGUUGUAAUCUCUGUCCUCCCUUUGCUGGUAAAAAGUUAAGUGAACCCAUUUGAACACAAGUUGUGCCCCUGGACACAUUGUGUGUGCUUCUCCUGAAUACUUCACUGAUCCUGAAGAAUUGGCUUGGUUGCUGGUAAAUAAGUGUUGGUGUCCAAGCUGGUUGAGGUUUAUAAGGAUUAUAUAUCUGACAUAACACAAUAGUGAGGCAAGCACUUAUUUUUAAAAAGCUUUUGUGAAAUAUUUAAAGUACCACCAGCCUUGGAUGGGAUCUCAUACAGCAUGAUGGGAGUUUGCAAAAGCAGGCAACUUCUUGCUCUGAAACUGAUAGGCCAUACAUUCAGAGUGGCUUGUUAAAGGACCACUCUACGCACCCAGACCACUUCAGCUUAAUGAAGUGGUCUGGGUGCCAGGUCCAGCUAGGCUUAAUCCAUUCUUUUAUAAUGCAAAUGGGUUAAGCCUUCCCCCAAUUCCUCUAGCGGCUGUCUCAUUGACCACUAGAGGCGCUUGCAUGCUUCUCACUG